CCCUUAGAUGUUCUGGGCCGCACACGCGCUACACUGAAGGAGGCAGCGUGUACUCCUGGAUCGAAAGAUUUGGGUAACCCGCGAAUCUCCUUCGUGCUAGGGAUUGAGGUUUGCAAUUAUCCUUCAUGAACGAGGAAUUCCCAGUAAGUGCAAGUCAUAAGCUUGCGCUGACUACGUCCCUGCCCUUUGUACACACCGCCCGUCGCACCUACCGAUUGAACGAUUCGGUGAAAACUCCGGACUGUGGUUGCUCACCCUUUAUUGGGAGUGCUUCCGUGGGAAGUUGUGUGAACCUCAUCGUUUAGAGGAAGGUGAAGUCGUAACA
This 325-nucleotide ribosomal RNA is filed under the name uncultured eukaryote. RNAcentral's name for it is "partial 18S ribosomal RNA". It matches the Rfam family "Eukaryotic small subunit ribosomal RNA", at positions 1470 to 1796 of the family's 1831-position model. The record is from RNAcentral.